Molecule: ribosomal RNA, 257 nt
Filed under: uncultured bacterium
Lineage: Bacteria
Description: partial 16S ribosomal RNA
Rfam family: Bacterial small subunit ribosomal RNA
Source: RNAcentral
UACGGGGGGGAGCAAGCGUUGUUCGGAUUUACUGGGCGUAAAGCGUGCGUAGGCGGUUCGUUAAGUCAGCUGUGAAAGCCCCCGGGCUCAACCUGGGAACUGCGGUUGAAACUGGCGAACUAGAAUCUGGCAGAGGGGGGGUGGAAUUCCACGUGUAGCAGUGAAAUGCGUAGAGAUGUGGAGGAACACCGAUGGCGAAGGCAGCCCCCCUGGGCUGAGAUUGACGCUCAGGCACGAAAGCGUGGGGAGCAAACAGG